GUGCGGGUAUCUCUCUGGGAAUUCUUGUGUAUUUGAGGCUUUUUGAAGACUCAAACAAGGAACUGCAAAAACAUAGAAAAUGUGGAAAUUAGAUUAUCUUGUAGAUGCAUGCUCGGGACUGCUAUGGCUUAAGAAACCUGACCAAUGUGCCACACUUACAUGAAAUAUGUGAAGAAAGAGUACAAGAAUUAAUGCACAACUCAAGGCAUGUCUGUGAUACGCAAAGCAGCACAGAGGAGUAACA
Molecule: long non-coding RNA, 244 nt
Organism: Lagopus leucura (white-tailed ptarmigan)
Lineage: Eukaryota; Metazoa; Chordata; Aves; Galliformes; Phasianidae
Exons: 3
Source: RefSeq, a predicted model, not a curated record